Pelobates cultripes (western spadefoot toad) is the source of this 393-nucleotide non-coding RNA. The record is from the annotation of a GenBank genome assembly. NCBI's taxonomy places the organism in Eukaryota, Metazoa, Chordata, Amphibia, Anura, Pelobatidae.
GAUCGGAGAAGCAGAUUAUUCUGAUGAUGACAAGUGGUUGAAAAGAAGACAUGUUCAAGAACAGUUGUAUCCUUGGCACCACUGUAAAACUGACAGCCCGCACUUAGAACAAGAGGCCUGUCAUUAUAUUCAGCCGUGGACAUCACUUACAAACCUUGAAAUACAGCUUCAGAAAAAAAAAUAUAUAUUAUAGAUGGUAGUAAGGAUAUUCCUUUUGAACAAAAAUAUCUGUGAUUUUAGCCCUUUACCUUGAACUCAAAAGCAAUUUACCUUGAGGAUUUCCCUGUGGUAAGAUGUAUACAUCUGUGAUAGUACAUAAAAAUGAUGUGAUUGUUAUAUUAAUUCUAUCACUGGAAGGGAAGGAGAGAAGGGACAAUGGAAGGCAAGUAAAUG